This 253-nucleotide ribosomal RNA is filed under the name uncultured bacterium. Its description in RNAcentral is "partial 16S ribosomal RNA". It matches the Rfam family "Bacterial small subunit ribosomal RNA", at positions 524 to 776 of the family's 1533-position model. The record is from RNAcentral.
UACGUAGGUGGCAAGCGUUGUCCGGAUUUACUGGGCGUAAAGAGCGCGCAGGCGGUCGUUCAAGUCGCGUGUGAAAGCCCCCGGCUCAACUGGGGAGGGUCACGCGAUACUGAUCGACUGGAAGGCAGGAGAGGGUAGUGGAAUUCCCGGUGUAGUGGUGAAAUGCGUAGAUAUCGGGAGGAACACCGGUGGCGAAGGCGGCCUUCUGGACAGUGACUGACGCUGAGACGCGAAAGCGUGGGGAGCAAACAGG